GGAUGAGAACAUAGAUUUGGGUCUCUUUAAAUAUGAAUAGGUUACAAAUUGCCUUUUUAAAUAUUGCUUGAGAUCAAGUGGUAGUGGUUAUAUAUGGAGUCAAGCAGCUGGGAUAUUCAUUCAAGGCGUGUAAUUUUCUUCAUUCUUUGGACAAAACACAAGCAGGUUUUUAAUUUUGAAUAAUUGAUCUUCCCUCCCAUACUGUGGGCAGGUGUUGAUGGUUCCCCACCUUGUUAGCCUGAAGCCUGUUCAUCCCUGGACCGGCCAUGACAUGCCCAGUGCAGUAUCCCCCACGGUGGGGCUGGCAGCAGCCCCUCCACACUAUGCACAGAGCAGUCUGAGUCUGGAAUCGUCUCUUCAGCCUUACAGCUGUUCCAUCUGUUAUUUUCUCCAAACUCCUCUUCCCUGCAUUUCCAAGCAGCGUCUUCUCAUGAUUACAGUCACUUUCAGAGAUGAGCUCAUGCUGAUACCCAAUGAAGAACCCAGUUCAGAAUUUUCUUUUUUUUUCUUUUUUGUUUUUUUGAGACAGGGGGUCUUAUUCUGUCACCCAGACUGGAGUACAGUGGCAUGAACGUGGCUCACUGCAGCCUUGACCUCCCCGGUUCAAGCAAUUCUUCUGCCUCGCCCUCCUGAGUAGCUGGGACUACAGGCAUGCACCACCAAGCCUGGCUAAUUUUUAAACUUUUUGUAGAGAUAGGGUCUCACUCUGUUGCCCAGGCUGGUCUUGAACUCCUGGACUCAAGCAGUUCUCCCACCUCAGCUUCCCAAAGUGCUACAGCUGACUAUAAGCGUGAGCCACCAUGUCCAGCCCAGAAUUUUCAAAUUAAACAAAACUAACCCUCCAACAUGUUUCAGUACAGUGGCCUCAAUACACUAUUCCUCAUGCAAAGCCUUCAGUUGAAAGUGCUGGGUAACUUGGAUUUGCCUGUGUGUUGACCAUCAGUUGCUGCCUAACAGAUUAUCUGCAGCUCUGUGGGCUAAAACCACAGGGAUGUAUGACCUUCCUAUUUCUGUGGGUCUCGAGUCCAGCACAGCUUCUGGGUCGCACUGGCUCAGGUCUGUCCUGAGGUUGCAGUUAAGAUGGUGACCGCAGUGUCUCACCUGAGGGCUCAGCUGGGGCUGGAGAACUGGGCUCCGGGAGGCUCCGUCAUACACCCGCUGAGUUCUGCUGCUGUUGGUGAGAGGCUGGGUUCCUGGCCUCAUGGUUCUUUCUGUAGGGCUUCUUGUGCGUCUCACAGCAUAGCAGCUGGCUCCCUGCAGAGAGGGAGGGAGGAGGAGGAAGCCACAGUGCCUUGCACGGCCGGGUCUCAGAGGUCUCUAUGUCCCCUCCACCUGGUUCUUUUUGUCAGACGAGUCACUAAGUCCAGGCCACACGCAAGGGAUGGGAAUGAGACUCUGCCUUUUGAGGAGUGCUCAGGAAUGCAUGGCCGCAUUUAAACUGCCACACUGUGGCCGGUCAGCUGGGUCUGUUCCACUUCAGGAUCCACAGGCCUCUCCUGGCCCUGCAGGACAGGCUCCCCUGCCUCCACUCCAGCCCGUCCUGGUGGUUGUGAGCCGCACUUAACCCUGCCAGGAUGCGGCUUGUACUGGGAGGCCCAUGGGCUCCGAGAGGACUUCCCUUCAACCUCCAGGCACCUUGAAACUGCCCAGCAGCCAAACCUCAGAGCUGUGGAAGCUCCUGGACGUUUCAAAGACCCACUUAAUAUUUAAUAGUCAGUGCAGCAUUAAUUUCAUUGCUCCCCGAUCCCACAUAUCGAAACCUUUCACAGUUUAGUACAGGGAUGAUGGUGAAAGAGAAACCACAGGGAAAAUCCGAGGCAGUGGAAUUGUUUAAUUUCUGGUUGCUUCUCCUCUUAUUUGUAAUUAAUAUCCAUUCAGCAUCUUUAAAGCUUACAAAAUGCUUCAAGUACAUUCUCAUUGGAGUUCCAUGAUUUGUAAAACAGGCAUGUGAAAAAAUGGGAAGCUAAGGAAAUAGGAAUUCAGAAAAGGUACACUGAAGGUACGCUGAAGGUCAGCCUGAACUUGAACCCACGUCUUCUGGCACCGGACAUCCCUGUUCUUGUCACUGCGGCACUUUGCUCUGUGUGUGGAAAGCGUGAAGGGCCCCUGCAAAUGGACAUGAUGCUGCCUCCUCCACAGGUUUAUUUUUGUGAAAUCAAACAGAAUACUGUUUGUGCUUAAAAACCAUCCUGCGCCCCCAUCUGUAAAAUACAUCGUCCCCGGUACUUCCCAGCAGGCGCUAAGCACCACCCACACUGCCGGCGCCUGACCAGACAGCUCCAUGGAGCUCCUGACCCAGCUUCAACCCGUCGGGAACAGCUCCCAGGGAAUGUGCAGGAAGGUGCCUCCAACACCCGGCCCUUUCUGCCCCUCGGCCCCUGUGGUCACUCUGCCCUCCACAGUCCUUCUGCCCCUGUGGCUGGUCGCUUACUGCUCUGUGCAUCUUCCUGAAGCACUUGGCACUGUUGCCUCAUCUCUGUCCUCUUCCUCCUAUGCCCUCGCCUGGGCCCUCAGCAGCUUCCAGCAGGGAGGGUGUGGGUGCAGUGAUUUGGAUCAUGCCCCUACUCCUCAGAGCCUCUUCCCAAACGAACCGGGUGUGGCGUGCUGGGCCUUUAUUCUUCUGGGACACAAACACGGGACUGCUGAUUGGUCUCUGAUAUAGACCCUGGAGUCUGCUCCUUUUGUCUGGGGCAAAAGGAACCAAGGAGGAAAUUCCAGCCGCACCACAUUUGCAAACGACACACUGUCGGGCUUUUUUUGCAAUAACUGCAUUUCCUAAAUAAUUCAGUCUUUGGAUUGAGAACGUGUCUGUCACUUUCCUUUAUAGAAAUAACCUUUUGUAAAUUAAUGUACUGUUACUUUAUAAAGCCAGACAACUGUCUCUAGAUAGACAGCAAUAAAAGCUACCAACUGUG
This 2915-nucleotide long non-coding RNA is filed under the name Homo sapiens (human). RNAcentral's name for it is "non-protein coding lnc-RPS7-3:1". Lineage: Eukaryota; Metazoa; Chordata; Mammalia; Primates; Hominidae. The record is from RNAcentral.